UCAACCACAGCAACGUAGAUCGUCCUAA
RNAcentral lists this small RNA (28 nucleotides) under Bombyx mori (domestic silkworm). RNAcentral's name for it is "ovarian small RNA-24605". The record is from RNAcentral. Lineage: Eukaryota; Metazoa; Arthropoda; Insecta; Lepidoptera; Bombycidae.